UACGGAGGUGCGAGCGUUGUCCGGAAUCACUGGCGUAAAGGGCGCGUAGGCGGCGCGGAUAGUCGGCGGUGAAAGCCCGGAGCUCAACUCCGGGUCGGCCGUCGAUACUUCCGGGCUUGAGCACUGUAGAGGCAGAUGGAAUUCCGGGUGUAGCGGUGGAAUGCGUAGAGAUCCGGAAGAACACCGGUGGCGAAGGCGGUCUGCUGGGCAGUUGCUGACGCUGAUGCGCGACAGCGGUGGGGAGCAAACGAGG
This 253-nucleotide ribosomal RNA is filed under the name uncultured bacterium. RNAcentral describes it as "partial 16S ribosomal RNA". It matches the Rfam family "Bacterial small subunit ribosomal RNA", at positions 524 to 777 of the family's 1533-position model. The record is from RNAcentral.